RNAcentral lists this ribosomal RNA (627 nucleotides) under uncultured bacterium. RNAcentral's name for it is "bacterial SSU rRNA". It matches the Rfam family "Bacterial small subunit ribosomal RNA", at positions 36 to 678 of the family's 1533-position model. The record is from RNAcentral.
CGAACGGGGAUGCCAUUUUUGAAGCGAUUAGCUUGCUAAGAGUGGAAAUGUUGGCAUCUUAGUGGCGGACGGGUGAGUAACGCGUGGGGAACCUGCCCUGUACAGGGGGAUAACACUUAGAAAUAGGUGCUAAUACCGCAUAAGCGCACAGUAUCGCAUGAUACAGUGUGAAAAACUCCGGUGGUACAGGAUGGACCCGCGUCUGAUUAGCUGGUUGGCGGGGUAACGGCCCACCAAGGCGACGAUCAGUAGCCGGCCUGAGAGGGUGAACGGCCACAUUGGGACUGAGACACGGCCCAAACUCCUACGGGAGGCAGCAGUGGGGAAUAUUGGACAAUGGGGGGAACCCUGAUCCAGCGACGCCGCGUGAGUUGAAGAAGUAUUUCGGUAUGUAAAGCUCUAUCAGCAGGGAAGGAAAUGACGAUACCUGACUAAGAAGCCCCGGCUAACUACGUGCCAGCAGCCGCGGUAAUACGUAGGGGGCAAGCGUUAUCCGGAUUUACUGGGUGUAAAGGGAGCGUAGACGGUGCAGCAAGUCUGAUGUGAAAGGUCGGGGCCCAACCCCGGGACUGCAUUCCACACUGUUGAACUGGAGUACAGGAGAGGUAAGCGGAAUUCCUAGUGUAG